RNAcentral lists this ribosomal RNA (497 nucleotides) under uncultured bacterium. RNAcentral's name for it is "partial 16S ribosomal RNA". It matches the Rfam family "Bacterial small subunit ribosomal RNA", at positions 28 to 507 of the family's 1533-position model. The record is from RNAcentral.
GAUGAACGCUGGCGGCGUGCCUAAUACAUGCAAGUCGAGCGAACAGACGAGGAGCUUGCUCCUCUGACGUUAGCGGCGGACGGGUGAGUAACACGUGGAUAACCUACCUAUAAAACUGGGAUAACUUCGGGAAACCGGAGCUAAUACCGGAUAAUAUAUUGAACCGCAUGGUUCAAUAGUGAAAGACGGUUUUGCUGUCACUUAUAGAUGGAUCCGCGCCGCAUUAGCUAGUUGGUAAGGUAACGGCUUACCAAGGCAACGCUGCGUAGCCGACCUGAGAGGGGGAUCGGCCACACUGGAACUGGGACACGGUCCAGACUCCUACGGGAGGCAGCAGUAGGGAAUCUUCCGCAAUGGGCGAAAGCCUGACGGAGCAACGCCGCGUGAGUGAUGAAGGUCUUCGGAUCGUAAAACUCUGUUAUUAGGGAAGAACAAAUGUGUAAGUAACUAUGCACGUCUUGACGGUACCUAAUCAGAAAGCCACGGCUAACUACGUG